UAAACCUGCCUCUUAGCGGGGGAUAACUAUUGGAAACGAUAGCUAAUACCGCAUAAAAGUCGAUAUCGCAUGAUGUUGACUUGAAAGGUGCAAUUGCAUCACUAAGAGAUGGACCUGCGUUGUAUUAGCUAGUUGGUGAGGUAACGGCUCACCAAGGCGACGAUACAUAGCCGACCUGAGAGGGUGAUCGGCCACACUGGGACUGAGACACGGCCCAG
This 218-nucleotide ribosomal RNA is filed under the name uncultured bacterium. RNAcentral describes it as "partial 16S ribosomal RNA". It matches the Rfam family "Bacterial small subunit ribosomal RNA", at positions 122 to 334 of the family's 1533-position model. The record is from RNAcentral.